This 148-nucleotide signal recognition particle RNA is filed under the name Homo sapiens (human). RNAcentral describes it as "Metazoan signal recognition particle RNA". It matches the Rfam family "Metazoan signal recognition particle RNA". From Rfam's summary of the family: The signal recognition particle (SRP) is a universally conserved ribonucleoprotein. It is involved in the co-translational targeting of proteins to membranes. The record is from Rfam by way of RNAcentral. Lineage: Eukaryota; Metazoa; Chordata; Mammalia; Primates; Hominidae.
GCUGGGUGUGGUGGCAUGUGCCUGUAAUCCCAGCUACUCGGGAGGCUGAGGCAGGGGAAUUGCUUGAACCCAGGAGGCCAAGGUUGCAGUGAUCUGAGAUUGAGCCACUGCAUUCUAGCCUGGGUGACACAGCGAGACCCUGUCUCAA